RNAcentral lists this ribosomal RNA (316 nucleotides) under uncultured eukaryote. RNAcentral's name for it is "partial 18S ribosomal RNA". It matches the Rfam family "Eukaryotic small subunit ribosomal RNA", at positions 1470 to 1796 of the family's 1831-position model. The record is from RNAcentral.
CCCUUAGAUGUUCUGGGCUGCACACGCGCUACACUGAAGGGAUCAGCGUGUUCUUUUCCUGGUCCGAAAGGAUCGGGUAACCCGCUGAACCCCCUUCGUGGUAGGGAUCGGAGCUUGCAAUUAUUCUCCGUGAACCAGGAAUUCCCAGUAAGCGCAAGUCAUAAGCUUGCGUUGAUUACGUCCCUGCCCUUUGUACACACCGCCCGUCGCUACUACCGAUUGAAUGGUCCGGUGAAGCCUCCGGAUUGGCGCGCACCUCGGUGCCGCCGAGAAGUUGGCUAAACCUUACCAUUUAGAGGAAGGUGAAGUCGUAACA